This 109-nucleotide ribosomal RNA is filed under the name Acanthosepion pharaonis. Lineage: Eukaryota; Metazoa; Mollusca; Cephalopoda; Sepiida; Sepiidae. The record is from RNAcentral.
UUAUGGCCAUAUCACAUUGAAACACCAGUUCUCAUACGAUCACUGAAGUUAAACAACAUCAAGCCUGGUCAGUACCUAGAUGAGUGACUGCUUGGGAAUACCAGGUUAU